AACCAUGCACCGAAGCUGCGGCAGCGACACUGUGUGUUGUUGGGUAGGGGAGCGUUCUGUAAGCCUGUGAAGGUGGCCUGUGAGGGUUGCUGGAGGUAUCAGAAGUGCGAAUGCUGACAUAAGUAACGAUAAAGCGGGUGAAAAGCCCGCUCGCCGGAAGACCAAGGGUUCCUGUCCAACGUUAAUCGGGGCAGGGUGAGUCGACCCCUAAGGCGAGGCCGAAAGGCGUAGUCGAUGGGAAACGGGUUAAUAUUCCCGUACUUGGUGUUACUGCGAAGGGGGGACGGAGAAGGCUAUGUUGGCCGGGCGACGGUUGUCCCGGUUUAAGCGUGUAGGCUGGUUUUCCAGGCAAAUCCGGAAAAUCAAGGCUGAGGCGUGACGACGAGGCACUACGGUGCUGAAGCAACAAAUGCCCUGCUUCCAGGAAAAGCCUCUAAGCAUCAGGUAACACGAAAUCGUACCCCAAACCGACACAGGUGGUCAGGUAGAGAAUACCAAGGCGCUUGAGAGAACUCGGGUGAAGGAACUAGGCAAAAUGGUGCCGUAACUUCGGGAGAAGGCACGCUGACACGUAGGUGAAGUGAUUUACUCAUGGAGCUGAAGUCAGUCGAAGAUACCAGCUGGCUGCAACUGUUUAUUAAAAACACAGCACUGUGCAAACACGAAAGUGGACGUAUACGGUGUGACGCCUGCCCGGUGCCGGAAGGUUAAUUGAUGGGGUCAGCGCAAGCGAAGCUCCUGAUCGAAGCCCCGGUAAACGGCGGCCGUAACUAUAACGGUCCUAAGGUAGCGAAAUUCCUUGUCGGGUAAGUUCCGACCUGCACGAAUGGCGUAAUGAUGGCCAGGCUGUCUCCACCCGAGACUCAGUGAAAUUGAACUCGCUGUGAAGAUGCAGUGUACCCGCGGCAAGACGGAAAGACCCCGUGAACCUUUACUAUAGCUUGACACUGAACAUUGAGCCUUGAUGUGUAGGAUAGGUGGGAGGCUUUGAAGUGUGGACGCCAGUCUGCAUGGAGCCGACCUUGAAAUACCACCCUUUAAUGUUUGAUGUUCUAACGUGGACCCGUAAUCCGGGUUGCGGACAGUGUCUGGUGGGUAGUUUGACUGGGGCGGUCUCCUCCUAAAGAGUAACGGAGGAGCACGAAGGUUGGCUAAUCCUGGUCGGACAUCAGGAGGUUAGUGCAAUGGCAUAAGCCAGCUUGACUGCGAGCGUGACGGCGCGAGCAGGUGCGAAAGCAGGUCAUAGUGAUCCGGUGGUUCUGAAUGGAAGGGCCAUCGCUCAACGGAUAAAAGGUACUCCGGGGAUAACAGGCUGAUACCGCCCAAGAGUUCAUAUCGACGGCGGUGUUUGGCACCUCGAUGUCGGCUCAUCACAUCCUGGGGCUGAAGUAGGUCCCAAGGGUAUGGCUGUUCGCCAUUUAAAGUGGUACGCGAGCUGGGUUUAGAACGUCGUGAGACAGUUCGGUCCCUAUCUGCCGUGGGCGCUGGAGAACUGAGGGGGGCUGCUCCUAGUACGAGAGGACCGGAGUGGACGCAUCACUGGUGUUCGGGUUGUCAUGCCAAUGGCACUGCCCGGUAGCUAAAUGCGGAAGAGAUAAGUGCUGAAAGCAUCUAAGCACGAAACUUGCCCCGA
RNAcentral lists this ribosomal RNA (1633 nucleotides) under Salmonella enterica subsp. enterica serovar Senftenberg. Its description in RNAcentral is "partial 23S ribosomal RNA". It matches the Rfam family "Bacterial large subunit ribosomal RNA", at positions 1185 to 2802 of the family's 2925-position model. Lineage: Bacteria; Pseudomonadati; Pseudomonadota; Gammaproteobacteria; Enterobacterales; Enterobacteriaceae. The record is from RNAcentral.